GCCCCUUGUGUGUGUUUUUAUUCAACUGGAUAAAGACUUAAAAGACAGGUGCAAUAAUUAAUCCUCUUUAGUAACCCAGACCCAGAACUAGUUGUUCAGUAUAAGUUUUGAAACAUACAAGAAGGAAUAUG
Nannospalax galili (Upper Galilee mountains blind mole rat) is the source of this 131-nucleotide small nucleolar RNA. The record is from Ensembl. NCBI's taxonomy places the organism in Eukaryota, Metazoa, Chordata, Mammalia, Rodentia, Spalacidae.